CCACACACUUGAGGCCUGCACCACAAGAUGACGGCCGUAGCAGCAGUCGCGGCCCUGGCCCACCAUGAGUAGCGGAUCGUGAGGGCCUUUGAGCAGCUCAAGGAGCAAUUCUGGGCCAAAGUGCAGCAGAGAGAAGAGAGGUCGGCAGCAACGGAAAGUCCUCGGCAUGAGCUUGCUGGCACAGCUCCUGAGCAGAUGCCUGCCAUGAUCCAUGUAGAGCUAAUAUUCCACAGGUUAUCUCCACUCAAAAUCCCAGGGAGGCUCAGGAACAAGUAUUACAAAUCCAUAAAGCAAUAAUUACAGCAGUCAAGACAAUCCACGAAUAUUCCAAUAUAAAUCCCAAUGACUGGAUGACACACAGCAUCAGGAGCAGAACUGAACUUUUAAUCCACACAACCUUCUUUUAAAGCUUUCUCCCAUGCAAGGGAGGGAUUCACAUUAAUUAGUACAGUAUCCAAUAGUGUAACUGUUACCUCCCACACAUCUCCUCCCCUCAGUGUGACACAUAAUACACAUAAUACACUUAUACAUACUGUAGUUUUACCCGAUUUCUGGAUGUACCCCAAAACAGUCAGGUAGAAUUAGCCCUGAUCUGUGUGACAAACAUAUUAAAAAUUCACCCAGAUCAGACCAGGGGUUCGGGAAUUAGAUGGAAGGUGAAUUUUGACCAACCGCACAUGAGGUAGUAUCUGAAAAAGGCUCCAUGUGUUUUGGCCUUGCAGUCGGUCUCCGUUCGGGAGUUAAAAUACACAGAAAUACUUGCCAUCCACAGCUAAUCUUACAUUCGUAUUAAUUCCCUUGUUCGGGACAUUUAUUUUACUGAACGAGGGGCUGGUUGGCCCCUCCGUUCGUGAGUUACGGAGCUCUGGAGGUCUCAGCUGUGUUCAGGUGUUUAAGUGUCCGAUUUGAGUUCCAGACACUCGACGACCAAACACUGCUGAGAUUUUCUUGCGUAAGAUGGCCGCCGCCACGCGGUUCGUAUGCUGAACCACACAGAUACAUACAAAGUAACGAUUUUACGGUCAAUUAGUUUGUGGUUACAGAGUGUACAAAGCUUAAUGAGGUGCACACUUCUCGCUGGGGUGGUCUGAUGGUUCGAUAUUUUCAUUCGUAUGAAAAACGGAAUGAAAACUACCGAACAAUUAGACGAAAGCUACAUUCAAUACUGCUAAACAUGGCCAUAAUUACACAAAAUACAUUUUUAACAUGAAUUCUUGAGGAUAGCCCAAUGCCAUCCGCUACAAUCCACACCGCUGCAGUGCCGGCAGCGAGGAGGAGAAAGAAGCGGAGAGGGCCUUGAUUAAGGAGAUGUGGCCCAAAGACAAGCCAACACUCAUCUGGGCAUCAGUCUAGGGAGGAAUCCCUAGACCCCGCUCACAAUUCCGGGAGAUGACUGCUGAGCGUGCUGAACGUGGGAGUCGGCAACCCGUGGGCAUAUCUCAUGACUCCGGUGAAUAUGGCCAGAUCAGUAAGGAACAGGAACUGAACAGUGUUGGAGCCUGGGGCCAGUGUCGCAACGCUAUGGGGGCCUGGUACACCAAAACCCCUCAGAAUAGGCAAUGCUGUUUGGUGGGAAUAGGCUGAGCAUUCUACCAACAUUAAGGCCCUGGGCACCAUGCUUUCUCUGGGCUCACUUGCUGACCGAACAAGCUAUAUCCAUAACAGGGAUACAUGUCUGGAGGAUCACACUAUAGAAUCUGAUGGGCAAAUCUGCAGAGACCUUUCUGAACUUCAUCGCCGGAAUGGACAACAUGUUAUCAGCAAAACUGUAAAAGCCAUUUCAAACGGUAAAAGCCAGUUCAAACUCCAAGCGAGAUCAUCA
Molecule: non-coding RNA, 1822 nt
Organism: Pelobates cultripes (western spadefoot toad)
Lineage: Eukaryota; Metazoa; Chordata; Amphibia; Anura; Pelobatidae
Source: the annotation of a GenBank genome assembly